UUAGACAACAAACUGUUGUCUCAAGAACUACAAUGUGUAACAGAAAAGUACUAAUUAGAGAAGUUAAUGGGAGUAUAUAACAGUAAAAGAGCUCUAGGAAAAGAACCCCAGGUAAAGUGACAGUUUUCAAAUAUGAACAGAACUACCUGAUGGCAAGGGGAAGGAAGAGAGAAUGGUAUGUACAAAGGCCCAAAGCAAUGGGGAGCCAGACGAAUUUGGUAGUUGGAAGAGCAGUUAGUGUAGAGCAGGGAAUAUGGUGAAAAAGAACCAUGAGCAAGGAGUCCUCCUCCUGGGUGGGUAGUGCUACAGGGGUCCCCCAGGAUAUUCCCUCUGUCAGAUAUUUUAAGGAAUGGGGGCGGGGAGCAGAUGUGACAUAUUUUGAAGAGAUCAACUAGCUACAGGGAUUGGAAAAAUAACUGGGCUAUUUCAAGGAGCGCAGAUAAAGGCUCAUUAGGCUGGACUGUGAACAUGAUAGAGUGUAGACAGGAGCAUGUUUGAAACAAAUGAGUAAGAUUGCACUGACGGUGGAUUUAGAUAUGAGCAUGUGCAGGGGAAGAGGCCUGAGACCUAGGUCUUGGCUUCCUGGGGUGGGUUGUGGUGCCACUGUUCCACUCAAAACACACUUCAUUUUGACAUAGUGUCAGACUAACAGAAGACUUGGAAUAGUAAAAGAAGUCCCUUAUACCCUUUAUUUAGAUUCCACAAAUGUUAAGUUUAUCGUAUUUAUUUUUCUGAACUCCGAUGAAACUACGUUGCUGACACAAUGUCCCUCUCAAUAUGUCAACAUGUAUUUUUCAAAAACCAGGGCAUUCUCACAUCACACACAACUGACAAAUCAAUACUAUUAACUAUGGAAUCAUUCAAAUUUCACUAGUUAUUCCUAUAAUGUUCUUUGUAGAAGAUUCUAUUCACUGCAUUUAGUUAUCACGUGUCUGGAGUUUUCUUAUAUCUGAAACAGUUUCACUGUCCUAUGUCUUUCAUGACUGCAUAUUUUGAUGAGUACAGCCCUUAAGUGGCUUUGCUCCUAUUUUCUCAGAAUGGGCAACCAAUCAUUCACUCUUCAACCCACUACAAUUUGUCUUUUCCCUACUUGUUACCUGAGUCAGCUGUGCUUUCUUAAAAUUCUUCUGGAUACAUAAAAGCGCCACGGCAAAGCAGACAAACAUCCAUCUACUUACCUUCACACACUUCACAUUUACCCUAAAAUACCAGACAUUUUGUAUAUACUUGAACACAUCACACUGUUUUAUGUCUCCAUGACAAAUCACGUUUGUUUCCAUUUUAAAACCAAUAGGGCCCCCCAGUAUUUGAAUCACCUAGGACUUGUUAGAAAUGCAGAAUCAGACCCCAUUCCAGACCUACUGAGUCAGAAACUGCAUUCUAACACUCCUCAAGUAAUUUGUACAUAGAAGUUUGAGGAACAAUGAUUUGGAACACUUGACUCUUCUAAAUUCCAACUAAGUAUGUAAAGCUACGUUUGGCAUCACCAUCUUUCUCGAGUCUUCUUGCCCAUUCCCCCAUCAUCCUUAUCCCUCCCUUCCUCUAGGUAGAGAGUUACACACUGCCUUUUUUAGACUUUUUAUCCUAUCUGUGGCCACAUCAUUUUAAUAGUUAUUUGUAUGUCUGCUUCCUCCUAUUACACCUUAUAAUUUCUUUGAUUCCCUAUGAUUCACCUUUGAUUCUUCAGCACUGAACAGUCUGCCUGGCACAGACCUCCACAUCGAGCACGGAGCCUGGUGUGAAGCUUGAACUCACAAUCUUGAGAUUAAGAUCUGAGCCGAGAUCAGGCACUUAGCUGAGCCACCCAGAAUGCAGUGAUGAUGAUGUUACUGAGACCUAGGACCUAGGCCUCAAGAGACUUCUGGCUUCCUCUUUGUCAUCUUGGAACACUGUCCUGAAGUGCCACAUAAGGAAGCCAUCUAGCUAGUGCAGAGGACUGAAUCUCCUCAGGCAAAGCCAGCACUACCUGCCAGGAGAGUUAGCCCUAAAGAAGGCAAGCCACCAUCUCUACUGAUGGACAGCAUACAGCUUUUACACUGGCUAGAGGUUUACAGGUUGGGUUAAAGUGUUCUACACUAAAGAGACAAUAAAUCAAUCAACUUCAAUGAAAAGCAGAAAAAGAGAAAAAUGAGGGAGCUUGGAAGACAACAACUCUGUUCACGUAACUAUAACUUACAGCUUUUUCCUCAGGAGAUAUGAUAUAAUCUAGUAAUUAAGCAUUAAGGAAAACAAGAACUUAAAUAAAACACCAUCAGCACAUGAUAUUCUUUUAAAAAAAAAAGCUAUAAUAAUAAUAAUAGGAAGAGGAGGAGAAAACCCAAGAGGAAAAAUAAUAUUUCAAUAAGAGAAGAUUUAGUGUUCACAUCAAGUUGUAGGUACACCCCGGCAAUCCCAGAAACUGAGGAUGCAAUAGAUCACUACCAAGUACUGUCCUGUUAUAAAGGCAACAAUCAAUGGUAGCUGUUAUUGAAUUGUGGGAGAGUUAGACGGUCUGAGGAAAAUAGUAUAUCAACUAGUUUGUAGACUCAACAACUAUGAACAGGAAGUCAAGCCACCAUGCAGUGUUUCCAAACCAUACAGUACACAAAGGCCCAGCUGAAAGUACAGCAGUGCUAAAAUCCAGCAAGAAUUCUACAUUUCAAGCCUGCAACUACAAAUCUAAAUCUGCUCAGAGGAAGAAGCACCUUUUUCUUUUGUACAAAAAUAAGCUAGCGAUGGCCCUGUAAGACACUAUGAUAGGCAGAAAAGAAAUGAGAUAAAAAAUAAUCAGACUACCCUUGUUACUCAAAAAGGUGACUACAAAAAAUCUGUAAUUGAGUACAGGCAUUUCUGCUAUUGCUGAAUAACUCCAUGUUCUUUAAAAUAAAAACAGCUGAACUUAAGGAGAAAACAGAAUUAGAGCCAGUCAACUCAAAAUCAACGGAAUUUCAAAAUCUGAGUUCUAAUAAAACAAUAACAAUCGUUAUAAAAAUAUUAGUGCAGUUGUUUCCACUGGCAUUUGUAUCAAGAAUAAGCCAGUCCACCCUUUAAAGCUUCAUAUCCUGGAGCUCAUACUUCUUUUGAUGUGGGUCCUUGAAGACAUUCACUUCUAAUAGAAACUAGUUUAAUAAAAAUUAAAAAUAUCAUCUAGAGAUAGCCUUUUUCAUCAAUAAUUUCUUUUUACCACAAGGGACUAUCUUCACAACUACUACAAAGUAAUUUGCAACUUCCUCAGAUCUUUUAACAUAGUGGGAUAUGUAGCAUUUUUAAGCCAAUAAACUAGCAACUUACUGCAUUACAUAGGAAGGUACUUUUACAGAACUUUCAGCAUUUUUCUUACACCCCUAAGGAUUUCUCUUUAACUGUGAAGAGGCUUGCCACGAUCAUUUCAAAACACUGUGUUUGAAGUGGUUUGAAGAAAACCCACGCCAUAUUCGUCAUUAUGUUGACAUCAUUUGCCUAACAUGCCAAAUGUUAAAAGAAGUUUUUCAGAGAGAAAGAAAAUUACAUAGGUCAGAAACAGAUCUACAUAAAGAGAGAAAAAACACUGGAGAAUA
Molecule: long non-coding RNA, 3536 nt
Organism: Canis lupus familiaris (dog)
Lineage: Eukaryota; Metazoa; Chordata; Mammalia; Carnivora; Canidae
Exons: 7
Source: RefSeq, a predicted model, not a curated record